GGAGGAUCCAAGCGUUAUCCGGAUUUAUUGGGUUUAAAGGGUGCGUAGGUGGGAUGAUAAGUCAGAGGUGAAAGCUAGCAGCUUAACUGUUAAAUUGCCUUUGAUACUGUUGUUCUUGAGUAUAGUUGGCGUUGGCGGAAUGUGACAUGUAGCGGUGAAAUGCGUAGAUAUGUCACAGAACACCGAUCGCGAAGGCAGCUAACGAAACUAUCACUGACACUGAUGCACGAAAGCGUGGGGAGCAAACAGGAUUAGAUACCCUGGUAGUCCACGCCGUAAACGAUGAUAACUCGACGUUGGCAAUAUACUGUUCAGCGUCCAAGCGAAAGCGUUAAGUUAUCCACCUGGGGAGUACGAUCGCAAGGUUG
RNAcentral lists this ribosomal RNA (368 nucleotides) under uncultured bacterium. RNAcentral describes it as "bacterial SSU rRNA". It matches the Rfam family "Bacterial small subunit ribosomal RNA", at positions 527 to 896 of the family's 1533-position model. The record is from RNAcentral.